UUGCAAGCCAGCCAAUGAUGUUUGGAAUUGAAGCAAUCAUAAGAGACCCUUUCCGCCCAAUGUACUCCGCAAUUUGUCCACUAGCAAUAGCUCCCACCAUAGCUCCGACAUUAGAGAGCGAGCCGAAGACCGAGAACUCGGAGAGGGAGAGGCCGAGGUCCUUGAUGAUGUCGUCCUGAGUGGGAGAGGAGUAUCCUCCGGUGAAGCCGAACUGGAUGGGGCCGAGGGCGACGAUGAGGGUGCAGAGGACGACGGAGACUGCGGAGUCGCGGAUGGAGGCGGAGGAGCCGAGCAAGCUCGACUGCCGCGAUCCCAUGUCCAUCCGGUACCAGCUCCCCGUGUGGAGGAACGGCUUGCGGAGAUCGGAGCUGCGGGCGCCAUCCUCGCCGCUGCUGUUCUCGUCGCCGCGGAAGCUCAUCGCCGACGGUGGAAGAGAGAGAGGUCACGUCGAUGCUGUGCUGGAUUGAGUGGCCUCUAA
Molecule: unclassified non-coding RNA, 478 nt
Filed under: Hevea brasiliensis (rubber tree)
Lineage: Eukaryota; Viridiplantae; Streptophyta; Magnoliopsida; Malpighiales; Euphorbiaceae
Source: RNAcentral